Molecule: small nucleolar RNA, 96 nt
Filed under: Otolemur garnettii (small-eared galago)
Lineage: Eukaryota; Metazoa; Chordata; Mammalia; Primates; Galagidae
Description: Small nucleolar RNA U3 (ENSOGAG00000023951.1)
Source: RNAcentral
AAGACUAUACUUUCAGGGAUCAUGUCUAUAGUUUGUUACUGGAAUGAGUGCUCAUUUUAAAUAGCAUCUAGUUCUUAGUGGUUUGGAGAACGCUCC